ACGACCUUACUUGAACAGGAUCUGUUCUAUAGGCUCGUACCGUUGCAUCCUUGACUAAUAAGGAGGCAAGCACUUAAGAUUGGUUGAUGACAUCUGACCUGUGUGCCAAAGCGUGAUUAACGGCUUGGAUCAGCUGCUGGUUCUAUGGCUGUAGAUGGAUGAUCGUUCCUGUUCAGCCUAGCUGACACAGACAGGGUGGCUCACAGGUUGUCUGACAAGUC
RNAcentral lists this small nucleolar RNA (221 nucleotides) under Triticum aestivum (bread wheat). RNAcentral's name for it is "Plant small nucleolar RNA U3". It matches the Rfam family "Plant small nucleolar RNA U3". From Rfam's summary of the family: Small nucleolar RNAs (snoRNAs) are involved in the processing and modification of rRNA in the nucleolus. There are two main classes of snoRNAs: the box C/D class, and the box H/ACA class. U3 snoRNA is a member of the box C/D class. The record is from Rfam by way of RNAcentral. Lineage: Eukaryota; Viridiplantae; Streptophyta; Magnoliopsida; Poales; Poaceae.